This 72-nucleotide transfer RNA is filed under the name Pristionchus pacificus. It matches the Rfam family "tRNA". Rfam says of the family: Transfer RNA (tRNA) molecules are approximately 80 nucleotides in length. Their secondary structure includes four short double-helical elements and three loops (D, anti-codon, and T loops). Lineage: Eukaryota; Metazoa; Nematoda; Chromadorea; Rhabditida; Neodiplogasteridae. The record is from Rfam by way of RNAcentral.
GCCGGUUAGCUCAGUCGGUAGAGCACCAGACCAUUAAUCUGGCUGUCGCGGGUUUGAGCCCCGCAUCGGGCU